RNAcentral lists this ribosomal RNA (469 nucleotides) under uncultured bacterium. Its description in RNAcentral is "partial 16S ribosomal RNA". It matches the Rfam family "Bacterial small subunit ribosomal RNA", at positions 28 to 507 of the family's 1533-position model. The record is from RNAcentral.
GACGAACGCUGGCGGCGUGCUUAACACAUGCAAGUCGAACGGAAAGGCCCUGCUUGCAGGGUGCUCGAGUGGCGAACGGGUGAGUAACACGUGGGUGAUCUGCCCCUUACUUUGGGAUAAGCCUGGGAAACUGGGUCUAAUACUGGAUAGGACCAUGCUGUAGGUGGUGUGGUGGAAAGAUUAGUUUCGGUAAGGGAUGAGCUCGCGGCCUAUCAGCUUGUUGGUGGGGUAAUGGCCUACCAAGGCGUCGACGGGUAGCCGGCCUGAGAGGGUGGACGGCCACAUUGGGACUGAGAUACGGCCCAGACUCCUACUGGAGGCAGCAGUGGGGAAUAUUGCACAAUGGGCGCAAGCCUGAUGCAGCGACGCCGCGUGGGGGAUGACGGCCUUCGGGUUGUAAACUCCUUUCAGCCAUGACGAAGCCCUUGUGGUGACGGUAGUGGUAGAAGAAGCACCGGCUAACUACGUG